Molecule: transfer RNA, 3041 nt
Filed under: Equus caballus (horse)
Lineage: Eukaryota; Metazoa; Chordata; Mammalia; Perissodactyla; Equidae
Description: lncRNA (ENSECAG00000047294.1)
Rfam family: tRNA (bases 2827-2898)
Source: RNAcentral
GUCGAUUUGUUUUGUUUGAUUCUUCACUGUAUUUCUUUUGGUUUAGGGCCUCAAAAUUAUGUAAGUACAUAUAAUAUACUAUAUUUUUAAUAUUUUUUAUUAAAAAAUUUGAGGAAUGGGGGGUGUCUUCUAUGUGCAGUUCCUGUACCAGGCCCCUUAUGUAUAGUUAUCUUCAUUUGUCUCCACAAACUGGCAGUCAGGGUUAGGAGUUAUCAGGAGAUAUGGUUGUCCUGGCGCCAUCUGGUAUCCUGCUAGAGAGUAGGGAAGCACUGGGACCGUGUCGAUAGGGUGGGAGUAGAAGAGAACACAUUCUCAGUGGGGUCUCCAGAGAGCCUGGUGUGGAAGGCAGGUUGGAAAGACGGUCCCCCUACCCCACCCCUCCAGCCACUCCUCUCAGUGAUGCCUCCUCCGUGAGUCUUCUUGGCCUCAGGAAUUGCUCCCUUGCCUGGGAACUACCACGCGGUCUAGAGAGACCGUGGGCUAUCGAAGAGUCUGGCCCGGGGUUGGCCCUGCCCGUCACUCCAGGAGGAUGGACAGAUGCAGGGACAGAAAGAGGGACUGGAGUUCACCUAGAGGUUUCUUAUUAACUGUCCCCAACCAGCUAAUUCCACCGCUUGUCUUCAAAGCUCUCUGCGCCGGGAGGCUGAGUCCGAGGACGGCGGGCGGAGGCGGGAAGAGUCGAGACCCCAGGUUAUGGAACGGCGCGGAGACAGUGGCCACAGGGAGCGGGAACUCGGGUGCUGAAAGCAGUCCUGGAGGGCUGCGCGGGGGCGAGGCCGAGACCACUCCCUCCUACUUCCCCGACGUUAUUUCCUGGGAGGAGUCGGAGCUGGCGGCCAGCGAGCAGAGAGAUUCCCGGAUCCCUCCUCCAGAGUAUGCAGCACGGGGGCCAGUGGUCCCUGAGCGCGCGCCAGGACCGUUUGGCCUUGAAUCAAGGCGCUAGGGCUGCGGAAAGUCUAGUACGACCUCUAAGGGUGUCCGCGAUGGCCGUCGCAUGUCGGCUCGUUGGUCUAGGGGUAUGAUUCUCGCUUCGGGUGCGAGAGGUCCCGGGUUCAAAUCCCGGACGAGCCCUACUUUGGUUUUUGCGGAGACGAGAGCGUGCCCUAAGGUGCUUGUUAUUGGAACGGCGCUGCGGAGGCUCGACUGGGAAGUGAUAAGAGCGAACUGAGCGCUUCAAGGAGGAGGGCAGUAAGGUCUCUUGUUUUGAGUGGAUACCCCGGUGGCAGGAAGAGGCUCACAGUGCACGGUCCUUCCUAGUGUGCCAGGGAGAACGCAGGCACCUCCAGACUUGGCCAAGACAUUCACUGUCUGCUCCCCUCCUUCCUGCUGGGUGCUUCUCCUGUGCCACCAGAGCCUGGUUUCGGUUUGAUUGAUGCCUGUCAACCUAUAGUAGUGGAUGACAGGUAGUGAAAUGAAGUGAGACCUCUUCAGGGUGGUGUUUGUGAGACCCCAGGGACUUUCAGGACUCAGGUCUUUGCAGCCUCGCAGCCCGUCUGUCUCUCGGUCACUCCUGCUCGUUACUACCCUUCUGGGGACUCACGCUCAGGUAGGGUCUAGAACGCGCAUGGUUUUCGGGACAGCAUUUCUUAGGGCUCGGAAGGACAGAAUCCUCAGGAACCUUGCCGGUAGCGCGCUGAGUGAAGGUAUCAGAUCCAGGGUUUGGGGAGGUGUUUCGCUAGCUCAGUCCUCGUUAGUAUAGUGUAGGUUGAUUAGCCAUUACUCUCAUCGUUCAAUAUGCUUACUAGAAGUGUUCGUUGACAAUAACUUGAAAAACACAGAUGGGCAAACAGCACAAAACCGACGGCCCGAGUAAUCCCGCCUUCAGACUUUACCUCCGGCGUGGCGCUCGCUUUCGCCCGCAGCCGUGCGGAGACCCGGGCACGCGCCCCGCUCCGCACAGGGCACCGAGCCUGGGUUUUGUUUCCCUUGGCCUCCUCUCUUCUGCGUCUGUGGACUGGCACGGCCAUCCCAGGCGGAGAGUCCAGCGCGCUGUUUUCGAUGAGAGGGGCGUGAGGAGUACACCCGGCCGGGGUCGCGGGGAGCUGGCGCCUCACACGACCCUGGACACGCGACACUGGGACUAGGCCCAGGGAAAGGGGGGAAAAAUUUUUUUUAAAAGCACGGUUGCGUUGGCCGGGAAUCGAACCCGGGUCAACUGCUUGGAAGGCAGCUAUGCUCACCACUAUACCACCAACGCCGGCUAGCAAGCUUUCUUCCUGGGAUUCUUUAGGACUUAGAUACGUCGGCAGAGUCGUGGCCUGGGAGAUGUAACUUGGGGUCUGAACCAGAGCCCAGCAAGGGGUAAACACGAGGAAGGCCGAGACACAACGGCUGCGGUCUGCGGGGCACGCACGUGUGAGCGGCGCUCGGCUCCCAUCACCGCCAGUGCGCUCCAGUCACCCCACGAGAAACUGUGUGAUUCUACCCAGUCGACAGAGGGGGAAACCAAGGUCCAGAGAAGUUAAGUGAAGGGGUUUUCUGGCAGAGCUGGGAUUCAACCGUAAGAUUUUCUAGGGGCCCAGAUCUGCAUCGACAUAAUGGCUCUAUCAUCCCCCAAAAUAAAUCCCGAACACAUAAAAUCGCUUCUCUGUUGCGUGACCUCAGUGUGUCCCAAGAUUAAAGAAUCGGGCCUUAAACCAAGUGCGCCCAAGCCCAAUUUGUCCAGAGGAGGAUGUUUAAUUCCCUUGUGCGCGCGCAUCUAGUCUGCUAGCCGCUCUGAGAAACACGUGGACAAAAAUCUUCGGGGCGAGGUCUGAGAAUCAAACUCCGCCCCUAUUGCUGAUGAUGUGUCUGUUCACGAGACCCGUCAAGCGGCGGCCUCCAGAAGGCCUCGUGGCGCAACGGUAGCGCGUCUGACUCCAGAUCAGAAGGUUGCGUGUUCAAAUCACGUCGGGGUCAAAAGGUCACUUGUUUUCCGUAUCUGGAUAGACUGACUCGCUGUAAGAUAUUUCAAUAAAGAAAAAUGCACCUGCUUUUACUAUAUGAGGAAAAUAUGAACCUGAGUGUUUCUGUGUUUUUUUUCCUAAAGUUACAUGAAUUUU